RNAcentral lists this ribosomal RNA (802 nucleotides) under uncultured fungus. Its description in RNAcentral is "eukaryotic LSU rRNA". The stretch from base 1 to 241 matches the Rfam family "Eukaryotic small subunit ribosomal RNA", at positions 1593 to 1831 of the family's 1831-position model. Lineage: Eukaryota; Fungi. The record is from RNAcentral.
UUGCUCUUCAACGAGGAAUGCCUAGUAAGCGCGAGUCAUCAGCUCGCGUUGAUUACGUCCCUGCCCUUUGUACACACCGCCCGUCGCUACUACCGAUUGAAUGGCUUAGUGAGGCGUUCGGAUCGGCUCAGGGAGGUCGGCAACGACCACCCAGAGCUGAAAAGUUCGUCAAACUUGGUCAUUUAGAGGAAGUAAAAGUCGUAACAAGGUUUCCGUAGGUGAACCUGCGGAAGGAUCAUUACUGAGAUAGGGUCCCCAACGGGGCCCGACCUCCAACCCUUUGUCUAAACUACCUUUGUUGCCUCGGCGGGCCGUCUGAGCCUGUAUUCCAGGCCCGGCCGGCGGCUCCUUUGGAGCCCCCGUGCGCCCGCCGACGGACCCCUUCAAACCAUUUUUGAACCAGAAAAUCUGAGUGAAAUAUAAUACUUCAAAACUUUCAACAACGGAUCUCUUGGUUCUGGCAUCGAUGAAGAACGCAGCGAAAUGCGAUAAGUAUUGUGAAUUGCAGAAUUCAGUGAAUCAUCGAAUCUUUGAACGCACAUUGCGCCCCUCGGUAUUCCGGGGGGCAUGCCUGUUCGAGCGUCAUUAUAGACCAUCAAGCACAGCUUGGCAUUGGGCCUUCGUCCCCGCAGCGGACGGGCCCCAAAGACCUCGGCGGUGAAGUGUCGGCCUCAAGCGUAGUAGAAUCCUAUCCCGCUUACAGAGGCCGCGAUUCGCCCGCUCCGAACACCCCACACCUCAAGGUUGACCUCGGAUCAGGUAGGGAUACCCGCUGAACUUAAGCAUAUCAAUAAGCGGAGGA